This 29-nucleotide small RNA is filed under the name Bombyx mori (domestic silkworm). RNAcentral describes it as "ovarian small RNA-37312". Lineage: Eukaryota; Metazoa; Arthropoda; Insecta; Lepidoptera; Bombycidae. The record is from RNAcentral.
UUCCUCAUUAUUGAAGGUCGUGACCACCU